UGGAAGAUUCACAGUUUCUUCAUUUAGUGU
This 30-nucleotide non-coding RNA is filed under the name Mus musculus (house mouse). The record is from RNAcentral. Lineage: Eukaryota; Metazoa; Chordata; Mammalia; Rodentia; Muridae.